Molecule: unclassified non-coding RNA, 194 nt
Filed under: uncultured Atheliaceae
Lineage: Eukaryota; Fungi; Basidiomycota; Agaricomycetes; Atheliales; Atheliaceae
Description: sequence contains ITS2
Source: RNAcentral
AACCAUCAACCUCGGGGUUUUCGAGCCUUGGGGAUUGGAGUUGGAGUGUGCUGGUGGAAACCCCCAUCGGCUCCUCUCAAAUGCAUAAGCGGGAAACCCUUUACUUCCGAAAGUCGGUGUGAUAAGGAUUUGUUACGCCGUCACAUAGGGACUUUGAAGGCCGCUCACAAUGGUCUUCGGACGACGUCUAUCAA